This 305-nucleotide ribosomal RNA is filed under the name uncultured bacterium. Its description in RNAcentral is "bacterial SSU rRNA". It matches the Rfam family "Bacterial small subunit ribosomal RNA", at positions 334 to 656 of the family's 1533-position model. The record is from RNAcentral.
GUCUCCUACGGGGGGCAGCAGUGGGGAAUAUUGCACAAUGGGGGAAACCCUGAUGCAGCGACGCCGCGUGAGUGAAGAAGUAAUUCGUUAUGUAAAGCUCUAUCAGCAGGGAAGAAAAUGACGGUACCUGAGUAAGAAGCCCCGGCUAACUACGUGCCAGCAGCCGCGGUAAUACGUAGGGGGCAAGCGUUGUCCGGAUUUACUGGGUGUAAAGGGAGCGUAGACGGCAGGGCAAGUUUGGAGUGAAAGGCGGGGGCUCAACCCCCGGACUGCUCUGGAAACUGCCAGGCUGGAGUGCAGGAGCG